RNAcentral lists this long non-coding RNA (882 nucleotides) under Helianthus annuus (common sunflower). RNAcentral describes it as "hypothetical non coding rna". Lineage: Eukaryota; Viridiplantae; Streptophyta; Magnoliopsida; Asterales; Asteraceae. The record is from RNAcentral.
AUGAUAUUACAAGAUGGUGGAUUUGUGAUGAAGAUAAUGAUGGUGAUGAAGAUGACUUGGUUCUACUCAUGAAGAUGAUGAUGGAAGUAAAACUUAAACAAAAAUUAUAAAGAGAGUUAAUAAGCAAGGGUAUUUUGGUCAUUUAACAUGGACUUAACUGGGAAAUUUAACUGAUGUUAGGGCUGGGGACCAACCGAGUGCAUUUUUGACAAGUUUUAGGAUCACACGUGUAAUUAGUAAACCACUGCAAUUUUUAAAAACCACAGGGACCAACCAAGCAUUUAACUCUAUAAGUUAUAACAUUCAUCAAAGGGCUUUAUGGACUAGAGAUGGUUAAUGUAAUGAAAUAAUGAUCAAGUCCAAAAUUUCAUACGAAAGAUGCAGAAUAUUCUAGAAACGAAAUGUCAAAUUAUUAAAUUAAAUACAAAAAAACGUAUAUUGAUGUUGUAAGUUAUGUACUUAAUUAUGUUUACUAUUUCACCCCAGAUACGCUAAAUAUAAUAAUAACCAUAAUAUAUAAUCAUAUAUAUAAUCAGUUAAAUAAAAACUCAAUGAACAGAAGAGUGUAGAACAUCAAAAAGUACAAAAAAACAUUAAAAAAUCUACAAUUUAUUAUUUAUUAUUAUUUAUUACAAAUGAGUAAUUUCAACUCAAUUUGAGUUCAUGAUCUUUCAAGACGAAACUUUCUAACAAAAUCCAUUCGGAAUCAAAGCAUCAUGAAUCAAACUAGUAAAACCUAAACAAAAACUCGAUGAAUAUCAUCAUCAUCAAACCUAAAUUCCUUUUAAAUUCAAAAAACAUAACCAAUAAAUGAACAGAAACAUACAUGGUUUGAUGCAAUAAACUAAUCUAUACAAUCAUCGUUAUGCUAUUUCACUCAAA